GCCUCUGUAGCUCAGUUGGUUAGAGCGCUGCAUCGGAAUCGCAGGGCCGUAGGUUCGAUUCCUAUCAGAGGAC
Molecule: transfer RNA, 73 nt
Filed under: Paramuricea clavata
Lineage: Eukaryota; Metazoa; Cnidaria; Anthozoa; Malacalcyonacea; Plexauridae
Rfam family: tRNA
About the family: Transfer RNA (tRNA) molecules are approximately 80 nucleotides in length. Their secondary structure includes four short double-helical elements and three loops (D, anti-codon, and T loops).
Source: Rfam by way of RNAcentral